UUUUUGGUGAUCCCUGCCGGACCCGACUGCUAUCAGAGUGGGACUAAGCCAUGCGAGUCAACGUAGCAAUGCGUGGCGAACGGCUCAGUAACACGUAGUCAACAUGCCCAGGGGACGUGGAUAACCUCGGGAAACUGAGAUUAAACCGCGAUAGGUCAAGAUUUCUGGAAUGGAUCGUGUCUUAAAUCUACAUGGCCCCUGGAUUGGACUGCGGCCGAUCAGGCUGUUGGUGAGGUAAUGGCCCACCAAACCUAUAACCGGUACGGGCUCUGAGAGGAGAAGCCCGGAGAUGGGCACUGAGACAAGGGCCCAGGCCCUAUGGGGCGCAGCAGGCGCGAAACCUCUGCAAUGGGCGAAAGCCUGACAGGGUUACUCUGAGUGAUUUCCGCUAAGGAGAUCUUUUGGCAGCUCUAAAAAUGGUGCAGAAUAAGGGGUGGGCAAGUCUGGUGUCAGCCGCCGCGGUAAUACCAGCACCCCGAGUGGUCGGGACGAUUAUUGGGCCUAAAGCAUCCGUAGCCGGUUGUGCAAGUCCUCCGUUAAAUCCAGCCGCUCAACGGAUGGGCUGCGGAGGAUACUACAGAACUAGGAGGCGGGAGAGGCAAGCGGUACUUAGUGGGUAGGGGUAAAAUCCUUUGAUCCAUUGAAGACCACCAGUGGCGAAGGCGGCUUGCCAGAACGCGCUCGACGGUGAGGGAUGAAAGCUGGGGGAGCAAACCGGAUUAGAUACCCGGGUAGUCCCAGCUGUAAACGAUGCAGACUCGGUGAUGGGCUAGCCUCGUGUCAGCCCAGUGCCGCAGGGAAGCCGUUAAGUCUGCCGCCUGGGGAGUACGGUCGCAAGACUGAAACUUAAAGGAAUUGGCGGGGGAGCACCACAAGGGGUGAAGCCUGCGGUUCAUUUGGAGUCACGCCGGGG
RNAcentral lists this ribosomal RNA (913 nucleotides) under uncultured archaeon. Its description in RNAcentral is "bacterial SSU rRNA". It matches the Rfam family "Archaeal small subunit ribosomal RNA", at positions 1 to 923 of the family's 1478-position model. The record is from RNAcentral.